RNAcentral lists this unclassified non-coding RNA (392 nucleotides) under soil metagenome. RNAcentral describes it as "partial contains 5.8S ribosomal RNA, internal transcribed spacer 2, and large subunit ribosomal RNA". The stretch from base 1 to 122 matches the Rfam family "5.8S ribosomal RNA", at positions 35 to 154 of the family's 154-position model. The record is from RNAcentral.
GAUGAAGAACGUAGCGAAAUGCGAUACUUGGUGUGAAUUGCAGAAUCCCGUGAACCAUCGAGUCUUUGAACGCAAGUUGCGCCCGAAGCCACUAGGCCGAGGGCACGCCUGCCUGGGCGUCACACGCCGUUGCCCCCCCAUCUACUCCUUCGGGAUUGCGGGGGGGGCGGAUGAUGGCCUCCUGUGCGCCUAGCCGCGCGGUUGGCAUAAAUACCAAGUCCUCGGCGACGCACGCCACGACAAUCGGUGGUUGCGAAACCUCGGUUGCCCGUCGUGUGCGUUCGUCGCGCAUCGAGGGCUCGAAAAAAUGCUCGGCUCCGGCUGGGCUUUCAACGCGACCCCAGGUCAGGCGGGGUUACCCGCUGAAUUUAAGCAUAUCAAUAAGCGGAGGA